CCGCCCCGCCCCUCACGUUCAGAUGGAUCUCCCCCAACCUCAUAAGUUGACCCGCGACAUCCCUGUUUUGCCCCCCCCUAGACCCACAGGUGCCUUCCCCCAAGUCAAUGGAUCCCCCCCCAGCCCCACAAGUGACCCCAUUCUGGGCUGGGGGGGCUCCAAAGGGGGGUGGGGAUGCUAUGGGGCUCUAUGGGGCUGAAUGGGGCACAAUGGGGCACAAUGGGAUUAAAUGGGGCUCAAUGGGGUGUGCUGCCCCCCAUCUCCCCCCAGCCCCAUUGAGGCCCCCCCAGCCCCAUAACCCCCCAUCCCUAUAACCCCCUCAUAGCCACCCCAUAACCCUCCAUCCCCAUAGCCCCCCAUCCCUAUAUCCCCCCCAUAGCCCCCCAUAACCCCCCUGUCCCCCCCCAUCCCAUUCUCUAUGUCAUCAGACCCUUAAAAGCCAUUUGGGUCCAAAGGACCCACAAGUGGUUCCGGUGGUUCCGAUGGUUCCAUGGGGCAGCCCUAUGGGGUGCUAUGGGGUGCUAUGGGGCCCUAUGGGGUGCUAUGGGGCCCUAUGGGGUGCUAUGGAGUCCUAUGGGGUCCUAUGGGGUGCUAUGGGGCUCUAUGGGGCGCUAUGGGGUGCUAUGGGGUCCUAUAGGGUGCUAUGGUGCCCUAUGGGGUCCUAUGGGGUGCUAUGGGGCUCUAUGGGGCGCUAUGGGGCCCUAUGGGGUGCUAUGGGGCUCUAUGGGACGCUAUGGGGCCCUAUGGGGUUCUAUGGGGUGCUAUGGGGCCCUAUGGGGUGCUAUGGGGCCCUGUGGGGUCCUAUGAGGCUCUAUGGAGCCCUAUGGGGUGCUAUGGGUCGCUAUGGGGCACUAUGGGGCUCUAUGGGUCGCUAUGGGUCCCUAUGGGUCGCUAUGAGGCCCUAUGGGGCCCUAUGGGGCCCUAUGAGUUGCUAUGGGGUGCUAUGUGUCGCUACGGGGCACUAUGGGGCUCUAUGGGUCGCUGUGGGUCCCUAUGGGUCGCUAUGAGGCCCUAUGGGGCCCUAUGGGUCCCUAUGAGGCUCUAUGGGUCCCUAUGGGUCCCUAUGGGGCGCUAUGGGUCCCUAUGGGGCGGUACCGGUCGGACCGGUCCUUUAGCACCCGCCCGGCCCAGCCCUGAGGGCACCGCGCCCCAUAGAGAACCCCAUAGGGUGACCCAAAAUGAACCCGAAAUGGGGGGGCACCAAAGGGGGGGGGCUGGUUCUGGUCCCAGUCCCGGUCCUGGUUCUGGUUCUGAUUCUGGUUCUGGUCCCAGUCCCAGUCCCGGUUCUGGUUCUGGUCCUGGUUCUGGUCCUGGUCUUGGUUCUGGUUCUGGUUCUGGUCCCGGUCCCGGUUCUGGUCCUGGUUCUGGUCCUGGUUCUGGUUCUGGUUCCGGUUCUGGUCCCGGUCCCAGUUCUGGUUCUGGUCCAGGUCCCGGUUCUGGUUCUGGUUCUGGUCCCAGUGUCGGUACCAAUGUCGGUUCUGGUACCGCUGCUGGUGUUAAUGGUGGUACCAGUCUGGUGCUGGUACCGGUAUCGGUUCUGGUUCUGCUGUUGGUCCCGGUAUCGGUCCCAGGGUCCAUAUUGGUACCGGUGUCAGUCCAGGUUCCGGUACCGGUUCUGCUGUCGGUUCUGGUCCCACUGUGUCUCCAUUGUUGGGCCCAUUGUCAGUCCUGGUCCCGGUUCUGGUUCUGGUCCCAGUCCUGGUUCUGGUCCCGGUUCUGGUCCCGGUUCCGGUUCUGGUCCCGGUUCUGGUUCCGGUUCUGUGGGUGUUUCCAGGCGGCGCCGCAGGGAAAGGAUGAAUCACGGCGGCAUCACAACAGGGCGGGACCGGAACCGAGACCGGAACCGAGACCGGAACCGAGACCGGACCGACCCGAAACGGGACCAGAACCGACCGGACCAACCCAAAAUGGGACCGGGACCAACAGAACCGACAUAAAACGGUACCGGGACCAAAAGAACCGGCCCAAAACGGAACCAGAACCGACCGGACCCACCCGAAACGGAACCGGGACCAACAGAACCGACCCAAAAUGGAACCGGGACUGA
RNAcentral lists this long non-coding RNA (2047 nucleotides) under Coturnix japonica (Japanese quail). RNAcentral's name for it is "lncRNA (ENSCJPG00005001872.1)". The record is from RNAcentral. Lineage: Eukaryota; Metazoa; Chordata; Aves; Galliformes; Phasianidae.